Molecule: ribosomal RNA, 301 nt
Filed under: uncultured bacterium
Lineage: Bacteria
Description: partial 16S ribosomal RNA
Rfam family: Bacterial small subunit ribosomal RNA
Source: RNAcentral
CAGUCGCCACGGUAAUACGGAGGGUGCAAGCGUUAUCCGGAUUUAUUGGGUUUAAAGGGUCCGUAGGCGGACUUAUAAGUCAGUGGUGAAAGCCUGUCGCUUAACGAUAGAACUGCCAUUGAUACUGUAAGUCUUGAGUAUAUUUGAGGUAGCUGGAAUAAGUAGUGUAGCGGUGAAAUGCAUAGAUAUUACUUAGAACACCAAUUGCGAAGGCAGGUUACCAAGAUAUAACUGACGCUGAGGGACGAAAGCGUGGGUAGCGAACAGGAUUAGAUACCCGAGUAGUCCCUGUCUCUUAUAC